Molecule: ribosomal RNA, 468 nt
Filed under: uncultured bacterium
Lineage: Bacteria
Description: bacterial SSU rRNA
Rfam family: Bacterial small subunit ribosomal RNA
Source: RNAcentral
AGAGCAUCCUACGGGAGGCAGCAGUGGGGAAUAUUGCACAAUGGGCGCAAGCCUGAUGCAGCCAUGCGCGUGUAUGAAGAAGGCCUUCGGGUUGUAAAGUACUUUCAGCAGUGAGGAAGGUGGGUAUGUUAAUAGCAUAUUCAUUUGACGUUAGCUGCAGAAGAAGCACCGGCUAACUCCGUGCCAGCAGCCGCGGUAAUACGGAGGGUGCGAGCGUUAAUCGGAAUUACUGGGCGUAAAGCGCAUGCAGGUGGUUUGUUAAGUCAGAUGUGAAAGCCCGGGGCUCAACCUCGGAAUUGCAUUUGAAACUGGCAAACUAGAGUACUGUAGAGGGGGUAGAAUUUCAGGUGUAGCGGUGAAAUGCGUAGAGAUCUGAAGGAAUACCGGUGGCGAAGGCGGCCCCCUGGACAGAUACUGACACUCAGAUGCGAAAGCGUGGGGAGCAAACAGGAUUAGAAACCCUGGUAG